This 460-nucleotide ribosomal RNA is filed under the name uncultured bacterium. RNAcentral's name for it is "partial 16S ribosomal RNA". It matches the Rfam family "Bacterial small subunit ribosomal RNA", at positions 338 to 795 of the family's 1533-position model. The record is from RNAcentral.
CCUACGGGUGGCAGCAGUGAGGAAUAUUGGUCAAUGGACGAGAGUCUGAACCAGCCAAGUAGCGUGAAGGAUGACUGCUCUAUGGGUUGUAAACUUCUUUUAUAUGGGAAUAAAACGUUCCACGUGUGGGCUUUUGUAUGUACCCUAUGAAUAAGGAUCGGCUAACUCCGUGCCAGCAGCCGCGGUAAUACGGAGGAUCCGAGCGUUAUCCGGAUUUAUUGGGUUUAAAGGGAGCGUAGGUGGAUUGUUAAGUCAGUUGUGAACGUUUGCGGCUCAACCGUAAAAUUGCAGUUGAAACUGGCUGUCUUGAGUACAGUAGAGGUGGGCGGAAUUCGUGGUGUAGCGGUGAAAUGCUUAGAUAUCACGAAGAACUCCGAUUGCGAAGGCAGUUCACUGGACUGCAACUGACACUGAGGCUCGAAAGUGUGGGUAGCAAACAGGAUUAGAUACCCCAGUAGUC